Molecule: ribosomal RNA, 636 nt
Filed under: Piloderma byssinum
Lineage: Eukaryota; Fungi; Basidiomycota; Agaricomycetes; Atheliales; Atheliaceae
Description: eukaryotic LSU rRNA
Rfam family: 5.8S ribosomal RNA (bases 245-399)
Source: RNAcentral
AAGUAAAAGUCGUAACAAGGUUUCCGUAGGUGAACCUGCGGAAGGAUCAUUAUUGAAAUUAUAGGCGAGGGUUGUAGCUGGCCUCUCGGGGCAUGUGCACGCCCGAGCCCUUAAUCCCACACACACCUGUGAACCUAUUGUAAGGGCCCGUAAAAAAGGCCUUUACGUCUUUAUCACCUACCCGAAGUCUCAUAGAAUGUAAACAUAUGUCCUCGCCUUAAAAAAGCGUUGAUAAAAUUUAUACAACUUUCAACAACGGAUCUCUUGGCUCUCGCAUCGAUGAAGAACGCAGCGAAAUGCGAUAAGUAAUGUGAAUUGCAGAUUUUCAGUGAAUCAUCGAAUCUUUGAACGCACCUUGCGCUCCUUGGUAUUCCGAGGAGCAUGCCUGUUUGAGUGUCAUUAAAUUCUCAAACUCUGAUUGAUUUGUUUCAAUCGAGCUUUGGAUUUGGAGCGUGCCGGCGUCAGUCGGCUCCUCUUGAAUGCAUCAGCGGAAUCCCAUUCAUUUCGGACGUCAGUGUGAUAAUCAUGUUGUGCUGUCUUUACGAUCUUGAAAGCCCGCUCACAAUGGUCUUCGGACAAACCUCACUAUCAUAUUUGACCUCAAAUCAGGUAGGACUACCCGCUGAACUUAAGCAU